RNAcentral lists this transfer RNA (81 nucleotides) under Tetracentron sinense. It matches the Rfam family "tRNA". Rfam says of the family: Transfer RNA (tRNA) molecules are approximately 80 nucleotides in length. Their secondary structure includes four short double-helical elements and three loops (D, anti-codon, and T loops). The record is from Rfam by way of RNAcentral. Lineage: Eukaryota; Viridiplantae; Streptophyta; Magnoliopsida; Trochodendrales; Trochodendraceae.
GCGUUGGUGGUGAAAUGGUAGACACGCGAGACUCAAAAUCUCGUGCCAAAAAGCGUGGAGGUUCGAGUCCUCUUCAAGGCA